AAAACUUUUGUGUAUCUUUCCGCUAUUCUAUUUUACUAAUUGCUUACAUUUGUGGUACGUAUGAAUCUAUAAUUGCUAUUUGCUUUUCACGAUUAGUAUAUCUUUUUUUAGUAUUUAUGUAUUCAAUUAAUAGGUUUCUAUAGUAUAUGACAACAAUAUCAAAGUUGCAAAUUAAUAGAAAAUAUUAUAAAAAAUAAUUAUAUGAUUUCCUCACAUUUGUAUAUGAUUUGGCUGGUUGAAUUAACAGAUACGUAUGUUAUGGGAGUUAUGGGAUACGGACAUACUGGUUAAAAUCUCACAAUAAUCAGCAAAGAAGAAAUACAUGAAAUUGUAGUAAAUCCCGAUUGUACCCCACUAUUAAAAAGAUAUAUACACCCAUAAAUACUUACAUAUACAGACACAAAUCAUGAUCAUACAUUUUCUUCUUAGAACACUCUUGACUCUAAAUUUAUUCGACAAAAACAGAGUAUCAUUAAAUGUUAUUUAUUUUAUAUAUGAAUUAACAAUAAUAUUAUUUAUAUAACACUCAUAAAUAUAUAUACUACUUGAUUUUGCAGGCAUGUUCGUGAUGACACAAGUUUUCUCAGCGAAUGCUCAAAACAUAUGUAUCAAACGUAUUGAUGGUUCUACUCCUUGCCGGCAAGAAUUAUCACUUUGCGAAAAACAAUGCCACAAACUUUUUGGACUACAUAUUAUUAAGUCACAGUGU
This 709-nucleotide long non-coding RNA is filed under the name Nicotiana benthamiana. RNAcentral's name for it is "long non-coding RNA (NBEN_LNC003681)". Lineage: Eukaryota; Viridiplantae; Streptophyta; Magnoliopsida; Solanales; Solanaceae. The record is from RNAcentral.